Molecule: unclassified non-coding RNA, 312 nt
Filed under: uncultured fungus
Lineage: Eukaryota; Fungi
Description: partial contains 5.8S rRNA and ITS2
Source: RNAcentral
AACGCAUAUUGCGCUAGAGGCUUCGGCCGAUAGCAUGUCUGCCUCAGCGUCGAUGUAUCCCUCAUCUACCCACUCCCACUUAUCUAGUGAGAGUGAGCACGAUGGACCUGGCAGUCCCGACUCUAUUCAGUUAUGGUCGGGUUUGCUGAAGCUCAGAGGCUAAUCAAGGACCGUAAUGGGCCGCAUCUAGGUAGGUAGCUUACGCUCCAUAUUUAGAUGUUGGCUUGGACUUUGGUUAUUCGCCCUCAACCAGGAACCUAUACAUCUUACAAUUUCGACCUGAGCUCAGGCAAGAACACCCGCUGAACUUAA